RNAcentral lists this ribosomal RNA (253 nucleotides) under uncultured bacterium. RNAcentral describes it as "partial 16S ribosomal RNA". It matches the Rfam family "Bacterial small subunit ribosomal RNA", at positions 524 to 776 of the family's 1533-position model. The record is from RNAcentral.
UACGUAGGGUGCAAGCGUUGUCCGGAAUUAUUGGGCGUAAAGAGCUCGUAGGCGGUUUGUCGCGUCUGCUGUGAAAACCCGAGGCUCAACCUCGGGCCUGCAGUGGGUACGGGCAGACUAGAGUGCGGUAGGGGAGAUUGGAAUUCCUGGUGUAGCGGUGGAAUGCGUAGAUAUCAGGAGGAACACCAAUGGCGAAGGCAGAUCUCUGGGCCGUAACUGACGCUGAGGAGCGAAAGCAUGGGGAGCGAACAGG